AUCACUUCUCGGCCUUUUGGCUAAGAUCAAGUGUAGUAUCUAUGCUUGAAACAGUCUGAAGACCAACAGAGGAGAGGCACAUUCAGAAACAGACCUAUA
This 99-nucleotide small nuclear RNA is filed under the name Fukomys damarensis (Damara mole-rat). RNAcentral describes it as "U2 spliceosomal RNA". It matches the Rfam family "U2 spliceosomal RNA". From Rfam's summary of the family: U2 is a small nuclear RNA (snRNA) component of the spliceosome (involved in pre-mRNA splicing). Complementary binding between U2 snRNA (in an area lying towards the 5' end but 3' to hairpin I) and the branchpoint sequence (BPS) of the intron results the bulging out of an unpaired adenosine, on the BPS, which initiates a nucleophilic attack at the intronic 5' splice site, thus starting the first of two transesterification reactions that mediate splicing. The record is from Rfam by way of RNAcentral. Lineage: Eukaryota; Metazoa; Chordata; Mammalia; Rodentia; Bathyergidae.